RNAcentral lists this long non-coding RNA (8482 nucleotides) under Malus domestica (apple). RNAcentral describes it as "long non-coding RNA (MDOM_LNC019823)". Lineage: Eukaryota; Viridiplantae; Streptophyta; Magnoliopsida; Rosales; Rosaceae. The record is from RNAcentral.
ACUGGGCAGAAAUGCCCAAUCGGAGAAGAAGAAGGUGAGAGCAAACCAGAAGAAGGGAGAGGAAGAAGCUGACCAAUCAGGGGAAGGAAAGGAGGGAAAGGAGGAGAGUGGUGCGCGGGGGAACAGGAAGAAUGGGUCACCCUUGACCCGCGCGACCCAAGCUUCCAAAUCGGCGGUUUUCGCCAUUUCCGUCCAAAUUUCCGACGAAAUUGAGUCAAGGUACCACUACUAAUCAUCUCUAGCUUCCCUCUUUACGUUUCACCCCAAGAAUCAUUGAAUUUCGUUGUGAUUUCGCGAAGAAACCCCUACGGGUGCCGCGACCCUUUUGUUUAAUUCUCCAAAUUUUGAAAUGUUUUCUUUCAAUUACUAACACCUUUAGCAUUCUUUAGGACCUAGAACAAAGCCCAAGAGGUAAUUGAGGCGUUGGAACAAGUUUGAAGGUCGAAAUGGAAACACCCAAAUUCUAGGGUUCUCACGGUUUGGUGAAAUUGAAGCACUUCCAGGCCAAAUUGGCCUUGGCCUCAGGUAUGAAAGUUGUUCUACUCAUUGAGAUCUUCAAAUCUGCAAAUUUUGGUAAUUUUUGGAAAUAGUUGAAUUUUCCGGCGAGCCGGGGGCGGCCAACCGCCACCCGCGGCGGCCCGCGCGGCGGCGCGUGGCCAAUGGCCCGCCAAUGUCAUUAUUAGCUUGUUGAUUAAGGUUCUAGGUUCUGUUUUUUAUAAUUGUUGGACGUAAAUUGAAUAAUUGAACCUAAGUUGGUUACGAUUCGUGGUUAGGUGAAAAUGUGAAUUGACGAUCCGACCGUUGGAUCGUCAAUCAAACUUUGAUACGUUGUAAUACGUAAUAUUUGAGGAUUAUAGGAACUUACGGAUUGGGAAUCCGAUUUACGGAUCUUCUGGAAUUGAAGUUGUAAGUUCAUAAAUAGAAUGUUAACCGUCACUUAGUUUUGGAAAUUGUCGGAGAUCCGACCGUUGGAUGGUAAUGAAAUUUUAGGAAGUUGUCCUAGAGGUAUAUUGUGGACCUCUGGAAGUUUCGGAUUUGAAAUCUGAAUUGCAGAUCAUCCGGAUCGAACUACGUAGUGACGUGUCUUACAUAAGUUAUGUAUUCUAUCGGCAGAAUUUUGAGGUUGGAUUUGAUUGUUGUUCUAGGCGCUAAUCGUCAUGACGCCUUGAUGUACGGUGCUAGGGAGUUGUGGGCGAACUCCAGGUGAGUGGGCAGUUUUGUUUUCGUAUUACCUAUAUACUAUUGAUUUUUCCCAGAAAAUGAAUUUAUAUGAAAAUAUGCUUUAAAAUGCAUGCAUAGAAUUAUUUGAAAAUGUGAAUUGUUAUAUGAAUUACAUGAUUGAGAUAUGAUGCAUACAUGUUGCAUGGUGCUGUGGAGGCACAGGUAAGUCAGGUGAGUUCAUUAUUCAUUUAAUUGAAUUGAUUGAUAUCGAUAUAAUUUGAGCUCAUAACCUGCACCCUAGGUGUUAGUGCUUAUAUUAUUCACCACACCGCACGCUCGCCUUGGAUCCAAGUAGGUGGAUGUCGUACAGACCAUGUGGGGUUCCGACAUGCUAGUCGUUAUAGAUCACUAGGCGUGAUUCCGACUAGUGGGUGAUCUUAGUUAUGCGCGCUGAUGAUAUGAUGAGAGAAGCACUAGAGCGUAUUUUUACACCUUUCAUCGUAUAGACUACCUUACGUAGUUCCGAGUGAUGUGCAGAGUAGGGCCGUAUAGGUCACUGUGGUGACUCCGGCUUAGUGAGAUAUUGAGCUAUUGAAUUAAUCGUAUAGGACCAACUGCAGGGUCUCCGAUUGAUUCCUUAUUUCACCUGAUUUAUAUUUUGAUUUAUGGCAUGGCAUGUUUUUCUUGAAAAGCGUUAAAGAUUUGAGAUUUGAAUUUUGAGAUUAUAUAUGGUUUUAUAUAUACUAUUUUCUGGGAAAGUAUACAGGUUUUACGGUGAGGGGAUAGAAAUAUUUUAAAUGAAAAAUUUUCGAAAAACUUUGUUUUACUGACCCACUCAAUUUUGUUUUGCGCCCCUCCAGGUUCAGGUUAGCAGAACUUUGGUGGCCACGAGGAAUCCAACGGUGUUCUGACAGAAUUCACAAAAGUAGGACUCACCCUCGGGUGUGUUAUCUUAGUAAUUGGAAAUUUUUUUUAAAGCUUCCGAACUGUGUAAAUGGUUACGUCACUCUCACGUGACGGCCAGCACGCCCUCUUUCGGGACGGGGUGUGUCAGUUGGUAUCAGAGCCUAGGUUGCAAUUCUGGACAUCUGGAGAAUUUCCCAGUGUCUUCUGUCAGAACUAUACAGCCUCGUAGCGAGCCACGUAGUUCGGAUAAGCCUAAUUUCCCUGAUAUAGUAGUUUGGGGGGAAACUAUUGCCAUUGUGAUUCAGUCUAUUAUCUAAAGGAACCUUUGAGACUGGUUAUAAGUUAAAUUUGAAUACAGACUUGCCUUGUUUCCAUUCGGAUGUUGUUGCUAAUCCGGUAGAGAUGUUAUGUCGUUUUUGGCUGGAUAAUAAGAAGAAGUGGCGUUCUUUGGCGACCACUAUCCAUUCUACUUUUUACCAAGAGUUUACGAGAUGUUAUUGGGUUUUGAAGACUUUGAGAAUAUGAUCAGCGAGAGUAAAAAGGAAUAAGAAAGGAAUGAGAAUCAGAAUAAGACGAUAAAGUUAAAGAUUCGUCAUAUCAAAGACCUCGGAGGACUCAGAGCUUCAAAAGAAGUGAAGUUAGAACUAAUUCUUCCAGCUGAGGUUUUAGUGCCACUGGUUCGAGGCGAAGUGAUAAAUUACGGGUGAUCCCAGAUCUUAAAGACAAGGUGACUCGAGUAAGGGAAAUGUACCUUUGUGCCAUAGGUAUAAUAUUAGACACUUUGGAUAGUGUGGGAAUCAGUGAAUGUGUGCAUGUGGACGGAUGGGACAUAGAGGUAUGAAUUGUCCCUGGAAUCAGUUGUUACCCAACAGUCUUCCUUAACAUAUCACUUGGAAAAAUUGAUGAGUAAGUCGUACAGGUCACUAUAUGUGACUCCGACUUAUGUGCUAGCAUGGAUGGUCGAGUUGUAGACUCAGUCGUACAAGUCAUUCUAGCUGACUCCGGCUGAUAUAUUUCUUAUUAUGGUCGAUGUUGCCAAAGAAAGUAAUGUUGGAGCACGAUCGAGGCGUAUUUAUGUAUUUCUAAGGAAGAACAAGAUGAUAAUAUUACACCCCUCAGGAAUUGUUACUUACUUAUCGAGACAACAGUGAGUUAUUUGUAUUGCGAGCUGCAGACCGUAAUAUUUAUAACUUAUUUGUUGGAUUCGUUAAGUAAGUAAACAAGUAAGGCACUUUAUGUUGAUUUGGUUUAUUAAGGGUGUCCGGUGAUGGUGAAAAAUGUCAUGUCGGUGAAUUUUAUUCCGUUGGAUAUUGUGGAUUUUGAGGUGAUUUUUGGCACAAAGUGGGUGCAGAAUAAAUGUGCCAAGCUAGAUUGCUAUGGGGAAUCAGUUAAUUUUUGUCGACCUGGAUGACCAGAGGUUACUUUUGGGGGUAAGUAAAGUGGAGUGAGUUAUGCCAUUAUUCCUGUUGAGAGAGCAAAGAAGAUUGUUAUCAAAAGGCUGCCAAGAUAUUGAGUUCAUAUGGUGCUAAAUGAUGUUGAUCCUAAUAGUAUGGAAGAUGUAAAGAUGGUUAGACAUUUUCUUGGUGUAUUCCCAGAUGACUUACCUAGAUUGCCGCCAGGCAGAGAUGUGGGUUUUAUUAUUGAAUUGUUUUUAGGUACAAAUCCUAUGUUAGAGAUUGGUUCAGGUUGAGUUAAAAGUUCCAUUCAACUUAUUAUAUCACAUUGGAAAAGCUCCGGUUUAUUUGUGAGAAAGAAAAUGGACAUUAAGGCUAGGCAUUGAUAUUAGGUAAUUGAAUCGGGUAACGAUUGAGAGCUGUUAUCCAUUGUUAUGUAUUGAUGAUUAUUUGAUCAGCUCUGAGGCGCCUGGGUACUUUCUGAGAUUGACUAGAGGUCUGAAUGAUAUUAGUUGAAGAUUAACAGUGAGGAUGUUCAUAAGACUGAAUCCAGGACUCGUUAUGGUCAUUUCAAGUUGGGAUGCCAUACGGAGUGACGAAUGCACCUGCUACUUUUAUGAGUUUGUUGAAGGAAGUAUUCCAAUGAUAUCUGGACCGGGUUGUUAUUGUUUGCCAUUGACGAGAUUGAUAAGAUUAGAGCAGUGCAUGCUAGAUAUUUAAAGUUGGUGUUGCAAAGAUUGAGGGAACGUUGAUGUAUGCUAAGUUUAACAAAUGCUAAUGUUGGAUAAAUUAAUUAUAUCUACUUAAGGUAUUCAAGUGGAUUCUUAAAAGAGUAGCAACGAUUAAGAAUUUGGAACAAUUGCGAACCGUGACUGAGGUUCAGAGUUUUCUCGGAUUAGCAGGAUAUCAUCGAUAGUUCGUCCAAGAUUUUAAUCACUGCUUGGCUUUGGCGAGAUUGAUGAGAAAAGAGGUUAGGUUUGAGUGGAUGAAAUUGUGAGCAAGGUUUCAGCGGCUGAAGUAUUAUCUCACUCACACGCCUGUUUUAACGCUUCCAGAUUUUAAUGGUAAUUAUGUGGUCUAUAGUGAUACUUUUUUUUAAUGUUCUUGGAUGCGUGUUGAUGCAACAUGGUAGGAUGAUUGUCUAUGCUUCAUGGCCAUUGGGAUCUCAUAAGAUGAAUUACCCUAAUUAUAAUUUGGAAUUGGCGGCUAUCAUUCUUACUUUGAAGUUAUGGAGACAUUAUAUUAUUGGUGAGAAAUGCAAGAUUUUAAUGAAUCAUAAGAGUCUCCAAUAUAUGUGUACGCGGAGAGAUAUUAAUCUUAGGCAACAAAGGUGGAUUGAGUUGCUUAGUGAUUAUGAUCGUGUGACGAGGGUGGUCAAGCUAAUGUUGUGGCUGAUGCAUUUAAUAGGAAGACCCCAGUGAGAAUUAAUGCUUGGUACGCUUGCUAUGUUCAUCUUCUUGUGGAUUUGAAAUCUACUGGAGUAAAGUUGAGUAUCAAAAAUCGAGAAGAAGGCUUACUUGCUAAUUUCCAAGUUGGACCCAUUUGGUAGAUCGUACUCGAUACUCAAGCGUUUGACGAAGAAAUUCAAGAAUUUAUUUAAAGCAAGGAAUAUCGGGAAAAAGAAAGACCUUAGAGUUAGAGAAUCAGAUGGCAAGCUUGUACAAGGGAACAAAGUGUUUAUGCCUAAUGGUGUGGAAUUAAAGAAAGCAAUUUUGACGAUGUACAUUAUUCCACUUCUACAAUGCAUCCCAAAAGUACUAAGAUUUAUCAUACCAUUCGUUCAUGUACUAUUGACGGGUAUGAAAAGAGAAAUGGCGAAGUAUGUUAGUAGGCGUAUUAUCAGUCAUCAGGUUAACGCAGAAAGAAAUAAGUCUUUUGGAAUAAUGUGGUCAUUUCCCAUUCCACGGCGGAAAUGGGAGAAUAUUACUAUGGAUUUCGUGGACAAGCUUCCUCGUAUACAAAAUAGUUAGGUUGGAAUUUGAAUAAUAAUUGAUCGACUGGUGACGUCAGCGUAUGUUACCUCAGUAUGAGAACACCAACCUUUCCAGACAAGCGCAACAUUUAUUUGUUUGUUUUAUGGAAAAAGAGAUUUGGGAUCUGUUAAACUUCUUGGGUAUGUUGGUCCCUUCAGUUUGUUCCCUUGAGUAACGCCAUAAGGCCGUGUAAAGCUAUGUCUUGUGUUUCGAAAUUUUUAGAAUUGGGGACGGAUAGUAUUCAAGGCCCUGAGUUAGUGGAUGAGACUAUUCGGAAUAUUCAAGUAAUUAAGUCUAACCUGGAAGUGGGCCAGGAUCGGCUGAAGAGCUUAGCAGACAAACAUGCCACUGACCGGAUGUAUAUGUAGGUGAUCGAAUGAUUUUGAAAUUAUCACCUUGGAAAAGUAUGAUUCGUUUUAAAAAGAAAAACAAGUAAGUCCUAGAUACGUCAGACCAUCUAUGAUCAUCGAACGAGUCAGUGAAGUUACGUACAGGCUGAGUUGCCUCCAGAGCCGAUGAAAGGGCAUGAUAUGUUUUAUGUUUCGAUACUUCGACAUUAAACCUCAUAUCCUUCACGAGUGAUACCUUCGCAACCUUUGGAAGUCAAUAUGGAUUUGACGUAUGAUGAGGAGCCAGUGCCUAUCUUGUAUUAGAAAGAUGAUGUACUGAGAAAUAAGACUAUGAGUUUGGUGAAAGUUUAUGGAGGAAUCUUUCAGUGGAAGAAGCUACUUAGAAAUCAAAGAAUCGAAUGAGAGAGAUGUGUUUCGGGCUGUUUCAUGGAUAUUGAUGGAUUGUAAAGAUUGUGUAAAUUUCGAGGACGAAAUUUCUGUAAGGUGGGUAGAUUGUGACAGCCCGUCCCUAAUUUUAAGAAUUUUUAAAGUUUUAAUAAAGGAUUUUACAAAAAUGCCCUUCGAGACACGCACAUCAUUCGAGGUUAAUCGUUGUGUCGUGCCAUCUAAGAUUUGUUUUCUUGACAUAUCCUCGUAGUACUCGUCGUUACGGACGUGUGGGCGCAGACGGUUCGUGAUUUGGAGUUAUAUCGAAGAAGUUAUUAACGUUUGAAAUUUGGAAUUUUAAGGAAUUAUAAUUUUAGUAAAAUAUAGAAAUUCUUUUAUGAAAUUGGACGGCCCAGAUUUAUUGAUGAAUGAAAUGGAUGGCUGGGAUGAGAGAAAGGUUUUUGGUGUGUGUAUGUGUAUGAGAAGAAGAAACAGAAAACAGAAAAGAAGAAGAGACUGGGCAGAAAUGCCCAAUCGAGAAGAAGAAGGUGAGAGCAAACCAGAAGAAGGGAGAGGAAGAAGCUGACCAAUCAGGGGAAGGAAAGGAGGGAAAGGAGGGAGAGUGGUGCGCGGGGGAACAGGAAGAAUGGGUCACCCUUGACCCGCGCGACCCAAGCUUCCAAAUCGGCGGGUUUUCGCCAUUUCCGUCCAAAUUUCCGACGAAUUGAGUCAAGGUACCACUACUAAUCAUCAUCUAGGCCUUCCCUCUUUACGUUUCACCCCAAGAAUCAUUGAAUUUCGUUGUGAUUUCGCGAAGAACACCCCUACGGGUGCCGCGACCCUUUUGUUUAAAUUCUCCAAAUUUUGAAAUGUUUUCUUUCAAUUACUAACACCUUUAGCAUUCCUUUAGGACCUAGAACAAAGCCCAAGAGGUAAUUGAGGCGUUGGAACAAGUUUGAAGGUCGAAAUGGAAACACCCAAAUUCUAGGGUUCUUCACGGUUUUGGUGAAAUUGAAGCACUUCCAGGCCAAAUUGGCCUUGGCCUCAGGUAUGAAAGUUGUUCUACUCAUUGAGAUCUUCAAAUCUGAAAAUUUUGGUAAUUUUUGGAAAUAGUUGAAUUUUCCGGCGAGCCGGGGGCGGCCAACCGCCACCCGCGGCGGCCCGCGCGGCGGCGCGUGGCCAAUGGCCCGCCAAUGUCAUUAUUAGCUUGUGAUUAAGGUUCUAGGUUCUGUUUUGAUAAUUGUUGGACGUAAAUUGAAUAAUUGAACCUAAGUUGGUUACGAUUCGUGGUUAGGUGAAAAUGUGAAUUGACGAUCCGACCGUUGGAUCGUCAUCAAACUUUGAUACGUUGUAAUACGUAAUAUUUGAGGAUUAUAGGAACUUACGGAUUGGGAAUCCGAUUUACGGAUCUUCUGGAAUUGAAGUUGUAAGUUCAUAAAAUAGAAUGUUAACCGUCACUUAGUUUUGGAAAUUGUCGGAGAUCCGACCGUUGGAUGGUAAUGAAAUUUUAGGAAGUUGUCCUAGAGGUAUAUUGUGGACCUCUGGAAGUUUUGGAUUUGAAAUCUGAAUUGCAGAUCAUCCGGAUCGAACUACGUAGUGACGUGUCUUACAUAAGUUAUGUAUUCUAUCGGCAGAAUUUCUGAGGUUGGAUUUGAUUGUUGUUCUAGGCGCUAAUCGUCAUGACGCCUUGAUGUACGGUGCUAGGGAGUUGUGGGCGAACUCCAGGUGAGUGGGCAGUUUUGUUUUCGUAUUACCUAUAUACUAUUGAUUUUUCCCAGAAAAUGAAUUUAUAUGAAAAUAUGCUUUAAAAAUGCCAUGCAUAGAAUUAUUUGAAAAUGUGAAUUGUUAUAUGAAUUACAUGAUUGAGAUAUGAUGCAUACAUGUUGCAUGGUGCUGUGGAGGCACAGGUAAGUCAGGUGAGUUCAUUAUUCAUUUAAUUGAAUUGAUUGAUAUCGAUAUAAUUUGAGCUCAUAACCUGCACCCUAGGUGUUAGUGCUUAUAUUAUUCACCACACCGCACGCUCGCCUUGGAUCCAAGUAGGUGGAUGUCGUACAGACCAUGUGAGGGUUCCGACAUGCUAGUCGUAUAGAUCACUAGGCGUGAUUCCGACUAGUGGGUGAUCUUAGUUAUGCGCGCUGAUGAUAUGAUGAGAGAAGCACUAGAGCGUAUUUUUACACCUUUCAUCGUAUAGACUACCUUACGUAGUUCCGAGUGAUGUGCAGAGUAGGGCCGUAUAGGUCACUGUGGUGACUCCGGCUUAGUGAGAUAUUGAGCUAUUGAAUUAAUCGUAUAGGACCAACUGCAGGGUCUCCGAUUGAUUCCUUAUUUCACC